Molecule: ribosomal RNA, 402 nt
Filed under: Odoribacter sp.
Lineage: Bacteria; Pseudomonadati; Bacteroidota; Bacteroidia; Bacteroidales; Odoribacteraceae
Description: bacterial SSU rRNA
Rfam family: Bacterial small subunit ribosomal RNA
Source: RNAcentral
UACAACGGAGAGUUUGAUCCUGGCUCAGGAUGAACGCUAGCGGGAGGCCUAACACAUGCAAGUCGAACGGGAUCCCCGGGCAACCGGGGUGAGAGUGGCGCACGGGUGAGUAACGCGUAUGCAACCUACCUGUAACAGAGGGAUAGCCCAUAGAAAUGUGGAUUAAAACCUCAUAGUUCUGAGAAGCCGCAUGGUUUUUCAGAUAAAACUCCGGUGGUUACAGAUGGGCAUGCGUGACAUUAGCUAGUUGGUAAGGUAACGGCUUACCAAGGCUACGAUGUCUAGGGGUUCUGAGAGGAUGAUCCCCCACACUGGUACUGAGACACGGACCAGACUCCUACGGGAGGCAGCAGUGAGGAAUAUUGGUCAAUGGGCGCAAGCCUGAACCAGCCAUCCCGCGUG